GACGAACGCUGGCGGCGUGCUUAACACAUGCAAGUCGAACGGAAAGGCCCUGCUUUUGUGGGGUGCUCGAGUGGCGAACGGGUGAGUAACACGUGAGUAACCUGCCCUUGACUUUGGGAUAACUUCAGGAAACUGGGGCUAAUACCGGAUAGGAGCUCCUGCUGCAUGGUGGGGGUUGGAAAGUUUCGGCGGUUGGGGAUGGACUCGCGGCUUAUCAGCUUGUUGGUGGGGUAGUGGCUUACCAAGGCUUUGACGGGUAGCCGGCCGGGGGGGGAGGCCGGCCAAAUGGGGACGAGAGGACGGCCCGGACCCCUACGGGAGGGAGGAGGGGGGAAUGUUGCACAAGGGGCGGAAGCCGGAUGCAGCAACGCCGGGUGGGGGAUGGCGGCCUUCGGGUGGGAAACAGCUUUCCCCUGUGAAGAAGGGUGAGGAACGGAAAUGGGGAAAAAAGCACCGCCAAACUAGUG
RNAcentral lists this ribosomal RNA (467 nucleotides) under uncultured bacterium. RNAcentral describes it as "partial 16S ribosomal RNA". It matches the Rfam family "Bacterial small subunit ribosomal RNA", at positions 28 to 507 of the family's 1533-position model. The record is from RNAcentral.